UACGGGGGGUGCAAGCGUUAUCCGGAUUCACUGGGUUUAAAGGGUGCGUAGGCGGGCAGGUAAGUCAGUGGUGAAAUCUCCGGGCUUAACCCGGAAACUGCCGUUGAUACUAUCUGUCUUGAAUAUCGUGGAGGUAAGCGGAAUAUGUCAUGUAGCGGUGAAAUGCUUAGAUAUGACAUAGAACACCCAUUGCGAAGGCAGCUUACUACACGAUCAUUGACGCUGAGGCACGAAAGCGUGGGGAGCAAACAGG
This 253-nucleotide ribosomal RNA is filed under the name uncultured bacterium. Its description in RNAcentral is "partial 16S ribosomal RNA". It matches the Rfam family "Bacterial small subunit ribosomal RNA", at positions 524 to 776 of the family's 1533-position model. The record is from RNAcentral.